RNAcentral lists this microRNA precursor (129 nucleotides) under Brassica napus (rape). RNAcentral describes it as "miR166f stem-loop (bna-MIR166f)". Its record names the gene bna-MIR166f. It matches the Rfam family "mir-166 microRNA precursor family". From Rfam's summary of the family: This family represents the plant microRNA (miRNA) precursor mir-166. Animal miRNAs are transcribed as ~70nt precursors and subsequently processed by the Dicer enzyme to give a ~22nt product. In plants the precursor sequences may be longer, and the carpel factory (caf) enzyme appears to be involved in processing. The record is from miRBase by way of RNAcentral. Lineage: Eukaryota; Viridiplantae; Streptophyta; Magnoliopsida; Brassicales; Brassicaceae.
AGUUGAGGGGAAUGUUGUCUGGAUCGAGGAUAUUAUAUAUACACAAAUACGUAUAUAUGUUAAUACAAGUGUUUGAUCAUAUAUGUAUAUAGAUUAUUCUCGGACCAGGCUUCAUCCCCCCUAACAUGU